Molecule: ribosomal RNA, 320 nt
Filed under: uncultured eukaryote
Lineage: Eukaryota
Description: partial 18S ribosomal RNA
Rfam family: Eukaryotic small subunit ribosomal RNA
Source: RNAcentral
CCCUUAGAUGUUCUGGGCUGCACGCGUGUUACAAUCGGGAGUACAACAAGAUUGCAAAUCCUAGUGGAUGAGUGGUUCUUCGAAAUUUUCUGAAGACUGGGAUAGUUGAUUGAAAUUAUUCAACUCGAACGAGGAAUUCCUUGUAAUUGUAAUUCAUUAUAUUGUAAUGAAUACGUCCCUGCCCUUUGUACACACUGCCCGUCGCUCCUACCGAUUGAACGAUCCGGUGAAUUAUUUGGAGUAGCUCUGGAAGUUGCAGAACUUCCUAUGUCACGAAAUUUUGUAAACCUUAUCGUUUAGAGGAAGGAAAAGUUGUAACA